Molecule: ribosomal RNA, 664 nt
Filed under: uncultured bacterium
Lineage: Bacteria
Description: bacterial SSU rRNA
Rfam family: Bacterial small subunit ribosomal RNA
Source: RNAcentral
UACGGGAGGCAGCAGUGGGGAAUCUUGCGCAAUGGCCGCAAGGCUGACGCAGCGACGCCGCGUGUGGGAUGACGGCCUUCGGGUUGUAAACCACUGUCAGGAGGGACGAAUACGGGGCUCCGAAUAGGGCACCCCGGGUGACGGUACCUCCAGAGGAAGCACCGGCUAACUCCGUGCCAGCAGCCGCGGUAAUACGGAGGGUGCGAGCGUUGUCCGGAAUCACUGGGCGUAAAGGGCGCGUAGGCGGUUCGGUAAGUCGUUGGUGAAAUCCCGGGGCUCAACCCCGGGGCUGCCGACGAGACUGCCGGGCUAGAGGCCGGUAGAGGCAGAUGGAAUUCCCGGUGUAGCGGUGGAAUGCGUAGAGAUCGGGAAGAACACCAGUGGCGAAGGCGGUCUGCUGGGCCGGUCCUGACGCUGAGGCGCGAAAGCGUGGGGAGCAAACAGGAUUAGAUACCCUGGUAGUCCACGCCGUAAACGAUGGGUACUAGGCGUCGGGGGGAGCGACCCCUUCGGUGCCGUCGCUAACGCAAUAAGUACCCCGCCUGGGGAGUACGGCCGCAAGGCUGAAACUCAAAGGAAUUGACGGGGGCCCGCACAAGCGGUGGAGCAUGUGGUUUAAUUCGAUGCAACGCGAAGAACCUUACCUAGGCUUGACAUGCACGUG